Molecule: long non-coding RNA, 1373 nt
Organism: Gasterosteus aculeatus aculeatus (three-spined stickleback)
Lineage: Eukaryota; Metazoa; Chordata; Actinopteri; Perciformes; Gasterosteidae
Source: Ensembl
UUUUUUUUGGAACCAACUCAGGAUUAGCAAGAAUCAGGAACCUAACCAGAAAGUGACUGCACUACAAGACAUCAAGCCUGAACAGGGACUUGAGCCCUGGACUCUCAGAUUAAAAGUCUGAUGCUGUACCGACUGAGCUAUCCAGGCUUCAAAAGCUCUGUUGAUUAUUGCGAAUGUGACUCUGGCAGAGGAACAAUCUCAAUGUGUUCGUCCAAUUCCAAAAAGGCUCAGAGGAACAAGCAGAAAAGGUACAUCUUUUUUUGGAACCGGCUCAGGAUUAGCAAGAGUCAGGAAUCUCAACAGAAAGUCACUUCACUACAAGACAACAAGCCUAAACAGGGACUUGAACCCUGGACCAUUAGAUUAAAAGUCUGAGGCUCUACCAACUGAGGUUUGACCUUGAUUGAAAGGUAAUCUUGUAAAACAAUACUUGUUAAACGAAUAUAUAAGACGACUGAGGAGAAACCCAAUUCCAAAACGGCUCAGAGGAACAAGCAGAAAAGGUACAUCUUUUUUUGGAACCGGCUCAGGAUUAGCAAGAGUCAGGCAUCUCACCAGAAAGUCACUCCACUACAAAACUUCAAGCCUGAACAGGGACUUGAACCCUGGACCCUUAGAUUAAAAGUCUGAGGCUCUACCAACUGAGGUUUGACUUUGUAUGAAAGGUAAUCUUGUAAAACAAUACUUGUUAAAGGAAUAUAUAAGACGACUGAGGAGGAACCCAAUUCCAAAAAGGCUCAGAGGAACAAGCAGAAAAGGUACAUCUUUUUUUGGAACCGGCUCAGGAUUAGCAAGAGUCAGGAACCUAACCAGAAAGUGAUUGCACUACAAGACAUCAAGCCUGAACAGGGACUUGAACCCUGGACCCUCAGAUUAAAAGUCUGAUGCUCUACCGACUGAGCUAUCCAGGCUUCAAAAGCUCUUUUGAUUAUUGCAAAUGUGACUCUGGCAGAGGAACAAACUAAAUGUGUUCGUCCAAUUCCAAAAAGGCUCAGAGGAAUGAGCAGAAAAGGUACAGCUUUCUUUGGAACCGGCUCAGGAUUAGCAAGAGUCAGGAAUCACUGCACUACAAGACAUUAAGUCUGAACAGGGACUUGAACCCUGGACCCUUAGAUUAAAAGUCUGAUGCUCUACCAACUGAGGUUUGACCUUGAUUGAAAGGUAAUCUUGUAAAACAAUACUUGUUAAACGAAUAUAUAAGACGACUGAGGAGAAACCCAAUUCCAAAAAGGCUCAGAGGAACAAGCAGAAAAGGUACAUCUUUUUUUGGAACCGGCUCAGGAUUAGCAAGAGUCAGGGAUCUCACCAGAAAGUCACUCCACUACAAAACUUCAAGCCUGAACAGGGACUUGAACCCUGGACCCUUAGAUUAA